This 280-nucleotide ribosomal RNA is filed under the name uncultured bacterium. RNAcentral's name for it is "partial 16S ribosomal RNA". It matches the Rfam family "Bacterial small subunit ribosomal RNA", at positions 591 to 866 of the family's 1533-position model. The record is from RNAcentral.
GGUGUGAAUCCCUGGGCUCAACCGAGGAAGUGCACUUGAAACUACCAAGCUAGAGGACGGCAGAGGAUGGUGGAAUUCCUAGUGUAGAGGUGAAAUUCGUAGAUAUUAGGAGGAAUACCGGCGGCGAAGGCGGCCAUCUGGGCCGUUCCUGACACUGAGACGCGAAAGCGUGGGUAGCAAACAGGAUUAGAUACCCUGGUAGUCCACGCUGUAAACGAUGGGUACUAGGUGUUGCGGGAAUUGACCCCUGCAGUGCCAAGGGCGAAUUCCACAGUGGAUA